UACGUAGGUGACAAGCGUUGUCCGGAUUUACUGGGCGUAAAGAGCGCGCAGGCGGUCGUUCAAGUCGAGUGUGAAAGCCCCCGGCUCAACUGGGGAGGGUCAUUCGAUACUGAUCGACUCGAAGGCAGGAGAGGGAAGUGGAAUUCCCGGUGUAGUGGUGAAAUGCGUAGAUAUCGGGAGGAACACCAGUGGCGAAGGCGACUUCCUGGCCUGUUCUUGACGCUGAGGCGCGAAAGCGUGGGAGCGAACAGG
RNAcentral lists this ribosomal RNA (252 nucleotides) under uncultured bacterium. RNAcentral describes it as "partial 16S ribosomal RNA". It matches the Rfam family "Bacterial small subunit ribosomal RNA", at positions 524 to 776 of the family's 1533-position model. The record is from RNAcentral.